RNAcentral lists this transfer RNA (68 nucleotides) under Marmota monax (woodchuck). Its description in RNAcentral is "tRNA.Ala". The record is from RNAcentral. Lineage: Eukaryota; Metazoa; Chordata; Mammalia; Rodentia; Sciuridae.
ACAUAUAGCCCAAUGGUAGAGCACUUGCCUAGCAGGCAUGAGGCUCAGGUUCAAUUGCCGGUACAGUA